This 22-nucleotide microRNA is filed under the name Daphnia pulex (common water flea). RNAcentral describes it as "Dpu-Mir-36_3p (mature (guide))". Lineage: Eukaryota; Metazoa; Arthropoda; Branchiopoda; Diplostraca; Daphniidae. RNAcentral also lists the same sequence under 2 other names. The record is from RNAcentral.
UCACCGGGUAGAAUUCAUCCAG